RNAcentral lists this ribosomal RNA (489 nucleotides) under Hemirhagerrhis hildebrandtii. Its description in RNAcentral is "partial 16S ribosomal RNA". It matches the Rfam family "Bacterial large subunit ribosomal RNA", at positions 1842 to 2597 of the family's 2925-position model. Lineage: Eukaryota; Metazoa; Chordata; Lepidosauria; Squamata. The record is from RNAcentral.
AGUAUUAAAGGCAACGCCUGCCCGGUGAACAAUUAAACGGCCGCGGUACCCUAACCGUGCAAAGGUAGCGUAAUCACUUGUCUAUUAAUUGUAGACCUGUAUGAAAGGCAAAAUGAGGGCCUGACUGUCUCUUAUAAUCAAUCAAUUAAACUGAUCUCCCAGUACAAAAGCUGGAAUGCACACAUAAGACCAGAAGACCCUGUGAAGCUUAAAUCAAACUAUCAAACCCUAUGAUAGCUAAUUUCGGUUGGGGCGACCUUGGAAAAAAGAAGAACUUCCAAAUACAACGGUAAAACCAACACUAAGGCCAACAAGCCAACAAACGAUCCAGCAACGCUGAUUAAUGAAACAAGUUACUCCAGGGAUAACAGCGCUAUCUUCUUCAAGAGCCCAUAUCAAAAAGAAGGUUUACGACCUCGAUGUUGGAUCAGGACAUCCUAAUGGUGCAGCAGCUAUUAAGGGUUCGUUUGUUCAACGAUUAAUAGUCCC